UGUUCUAACGUGGACCCGUAAUCCGGGUUGCGGACAGUGUCUGGUGGGUAGUUUGACUGGGGCGGUCUCCUCCUAAAGAGUAACGGAGGAGCACGAAGGUUGGCUAAUCCUGGUCGGACAUCAGGAGGUUAGUGCAAUGGCAUAAGCCAGCUUGACUGCGAGCGUGACGGCGCGAGCAGGUGCGAAAGCAGGUCAUAGUGAUCCGGUGGUUCUGAAUGGAAGGGCCAUCGCUCAACGGAUAAAAGGUACUCCGGGGAUAACAGGCUGAUACCGCCCAAGAGUUCAUAUCGACGGCGGUGUUUGGCACCUCGAUGUCGGCUCAUCACAUCCUGGGGCUGAAGUAGGUCCCAAGGGUAUGGCUGUUCGCCAUUUAAAGUGGUACGCGAGCUGGGUUUAGAACGUCGUGAGACAGUUCGGUCCCUAUCUGCCGUGGGCGCUGGAGAACUGAGGGGGGCUGCUCCUAGUACGAGAGGACCGGAGUGGACGCAUCACUGGUGUUCGGGUUGUCAUGCCAAUGGCACUGCCCGGUAGCUAAAUGCGGAAGAGAUAAGUGCUGAAAGCAUCUAAGCACGAAACUUGCCCCGAGAUGAGUUCUCCCUGAGACUUAGAGUCUCCUGAAGGAACGUUGAAGACGACGACGUUGA
Molecule: ribosomal RNA, 644 nt
Filed under: Salmonella enterica subsp. enterica serovar Haifa
Lineage: Bacteria; Pseudomonadati; Pseudomonadota; Gammaproteobacteria; Enterobacterales; Enterobacteriaceae
Also listed under: 1 other name
Description: partial 23S ribosomal RNA
Rfam family: Bacterial large subunit ribosomal RNA
Source: RNAcentral